Molecule: ribosomal RNA, 460 nt
Filed under: uncultured bacterium
Lineage: Bacteria
Description: partial 16S ribosomal RNA
Rfam family: Bacterial small subunit ribosomal RNA
Source: RNAcentral
CCUACGGGUGGCAGCAGUGAGGAAUAUUGGUCAAUGGGCGCGAGCCUGAACCAGCCAAGUAGCGUGAAGGAUGACUGCCCUACGGGUUGUAAACUUCUUUUAUAAAGGAAUAAAGUGAGGCACGUGUGCCUUUUUGUAUGUACUUUAUGAAUAAGGAUCGGCUAACUCCGUGCCAGCAGCCGCGGUAAUACGGAGGAUCCGAGCGUUAUCCGGAUUUAUUGGGUUUAAAGGGAGCGUAGAUGGGUUGUUAAGUCAGUUGUGAAAGUUUGCGGCUCAACCGUAAAAUUGCAAUUGAUACUGGCAGUUGUGAGGACAGGUGAGGGAGGCGGAAUUCGUGGGGUAGCGGUGAAAUGCUUAGAUAACACGAAGAACUACGAUUGCGAAGGCAGCCUACCAAACCGCCACUGACAUUGAUGAUCGAAAGUGUGGGUAUCAAACAGGAUUAGAUACCCUAGUAGUC